CCCCGUACACAAAAAUGCACAUGCUGUGAGCUCGAUGAGUAGGGCGGGACACGUGGUAUCCUGUCUGAAUAUGGGGGGACCAUCCUCCAAGGCUAAAUACUCCUGACUGACCGAUAGUGAACCAGUACCGUGAGGGAAAGGCGAAAAGAACCCCGGCGAGGGGAGUGAAAAAGAACCUGAAACCGUGUACGUACAAGCAGUGGGAGCACGCUUCGGCGUGUGACUGCGUACCUUUUGUAUAAUGGGUCAGCGACUUAUAUUCUGUAGCAAGGUUAACCGAAUAGGGGAGCCGAAGGGAAACCGAGUCUUAACUGGGCGUUAAGUUGCAGGGUAUAGACCCGAAACCCGGUGAUCUAGCCAUGGGCAGGUUGAAGGUUGGGUAACACUAACUGGAGGACCGAACCGACUAAUGUUGAAAAAUUAGCGGAUGACUUGUGGCUGGGGGUGAAAGGCCAAUCAAACCGGGAGAUAGCUGGUUCUCCCCGAAAGCUAUUUAGGUAGCGCCUCGUGAAUUCAUCUCCGGGGGUAGAGCACUGUUUCGGCAAGGGGGUCAUCCCGACUUACCAACCCGAUGCAAACUGCGAAUACCGGAGAAUGUUAUCACGGGAGACACACGGCGGGUGCUAACGUCCGUCGUGAAGAGGGAAACAACCCAGACCGCCAGCUAAGGUCCCAAAGUCAUGGUUAAGUGGGAAACGAUGUGGGAAGGCCCAGACAGCCAGGAUGUUGGCUUAGAAGCAGCCAUCAUUUAAAGAAAGCGUAAUAGCUCACUGGUCGAGUCGGCCUGCGCGGAAGAUGUAACGGGGCUAAACCAUGCACCGAAGCUGCGGCAGCGACACUGUGUGUUGUUGGGUAGGGGAGCGUUCUGUAAGCCUGUGAAGGUGUACUGUGAGGUAUGCUGGAGGUAUCAGAAGUGCGAAUGCUGACAUAAGUAACGAUAAAGCGGGUGAAAAGCCCGCUCGCCGGAAGACCAAGGGUUCCUGUCCAACGUUAAUCGGGGCAGGGUGAGUCGACCCCUAAGGCGAGGCCGAAAGGCGUAGUCGAUGGGAAACAGGUUAAUAUUCCUGUACUUGGUGUUACUGCGAAGGGGGGACGGAGAAGGCUAUGUUGGCCGGGCGACGGUUGUCCCGGUUUAAGCGUGUAGGCUGGUUUUCCAGGCAAAUCCGGAAAAUCAAGGCUGAGGCGUGAUGACGAGGCACUACGGUGCUGAAGCAACAAAUGCCCUGCUUCCAGGAAAAGCCUCUAAGCAUCAGGUAACAUCAAAUCGUACCCCAAACCGACACAGGUGGUCAGGUAGAGAAUACCAAGGCGCUUGAGAGAACUCGGGUGAAGGAACUAGGCAAAAUGGUGCCGUAACUUCGGGAGAAGGCACGC
RNAcentral lists this ribosomal RNA (1374 nucleotides) under Escherichia coli. RNAcentral describes it as "partial 23S ribosomal RNA". It matches the Rfam family "Bacterial large subunit ribosomal RNA", at positions 371 to 1751 of the family's 2925-position model. Lineage: Bacteria; Pseudomonadati; Pseudomonadota; Gammaproteobacteria; Enterobacterales; Enterobacteriaceae. The record is from RNAcentral.